CUCUAAAAUUCAUCAAAAUUAAAAUGCUAAUAUUUUUCGUUUUUUAUUUAUAUUUUGGCACUGCAUCUUGUAUAUUUAUUCUGGAAGCUCGUUCUUGGGACGCAUAAUUUUACGAACCCGAUGCCCCCAGUAUUCGUGUGGUGCCAAAGGGGGGGUAUACUAAAUCAAGGUAAUCUUGACAAAACCGCUUGAGAAGAAACCAAGUCAAGGCCAAAAGCUUUUCAAGUGGUGCGAAGCAUCAGCGAUGGCAAACCACAUUAAAAUCAAGUCAAAACCUAGACAAACACACUUGUUAGCUUAUCAUGUUACCCAUGCUAAGCGUAUUAAUGGCAGGGAAGACGGCGACAACGAUGACAACAACGACAAUAAAAGGGCGUCAGCCAGGCAAACAAACAAGCAAACAAACAUCGAGGAUAAAGUAAAAUAUUAAUAGCCAGCUACUAAAAUAGCACGAGCCUGAAUCCAACACAAAGAAUCAGCAUGGGGGCCACCAAGGAGUCAACGAGUUUUGAGGUCUCCCGAAAUCGGAGGACAGUGGGUGGCUGGGCUACUGGUGGUUAAGCCACUUGGUAAGUCCUGGCUCAGACAGAACUUGGUGCGCAGCCAACCAUGAUGGCAUCGCCCACAUGCCUGUUUCUGGAACUCUGGCUUAACCUCAGAAUUGUGUGCGGAUGGCCGUUAAUGUGUCAUCUGGGCUGAAGCCAGACUGCGUAAUUAUUACUAUAAUUUAUGCAGAAAUAGUUUGUUUCAAAACUGAGAAGUACAUCUGUACGUACCCAUGAAGUCCUGGGAAGGCCAACUAUGUUUGUCAAAAUAAUCUC
Drosophila melanogaster (fruit fly) is the source of this 821-nucleotide non-coding RNA. Lineage: Eukaryota; Metazoa; Arthropoda; Insecta; Diptera; Drosophilidae. The record is from Ensembl.